UACGAAGGGGGCUAGCGUUGCUCGGAAUCACUGGGCGUAAAGCGCACGUAGGCGGACUCUUAAGUCGGUGGUGAAAUCCUGGAGCUCAACUCCAGAACUGCCUUCGAUACUGAGAGUCUCGAGUCCGAGAGAGGUGAGUGGAACUGCGAGUGUAGAGGUGAAAUGCGCAGAUAUCAGGAGGAACACCCGUGGCGAAGGCGGCUCUCUGGGACGGUACUGACGCUGAGACGCGAAAGCGUGGGGAGCGAACAGG
RNAcentral lists this ribosomal RNA (253 nucleotides) under uncultured bacterium. RNAcentral's name for it is "partial 16S ribosomal RNA". It matches the Rfam family "Bacterial small subunit ribosomal RNA", at positions 524 to 776 of the family's 1533-position model. The record is from RNAcentral.